UACGUAGGGUGCGAGCGUUAAUCGGAAUUACUGGGCGUAAAGCGUGCGCAGGCGGUUUCUGAAGUCCGUUGUGAAAGCCCCGGGCUUAACCUGGGAAUGGCAGUGGAAACUAGGAGACUUGAAUCUGGCAGAGGGGGGUGAAAUGCCACGUGUAGCAGUGAAAUGCGUAGAGAUGUGGCGGAACACCGAUGGCGAAGGCAGCCCCCUGGGUCAAGAUUGACGCUCAGGCACGAAAGCGUGGGGAGCAAACAGG
Molecule: ribosomal RNA, 253 nt
Filed under: uncultured bacterium
Lineage: Bacteria
Description: partial 16S ribosomal RNA
Rfam family: Bacterial small subunit ribosomal RNA
Source: RNAcentral